GGACUACACGGGUAUCUAAUCCUGUUUGCUCCCCACGCUUUCGCUCCUCAGUGUCAGUAGUGGCCCAGAGACCUGCCUUCGCCAUUGGUGUUCCUCCUGAUAUCUGCGCAUUCCACCGCUACACCAGGAAUUCCAGUCUCCCCUACCACACUCCAGUUCGCCCGUAUCGGAUGCAGGCCUGAGGUUGAGCCUCAGGGUUUCACAUUCGACGUGACGAGCCACCUACGAGCUCUUUACGCCCAAUAAUUCCGGACAACGCUUGCACCCUAUGUAUUACCGCGGCUGCUGGCAC
This 292-nucleotide unclassified non-coding RNA is filed under the name uncultured fungus. RNAcentral's name for it is "sequence contains ITS1". The record is from RNAcentral. Lineage: Eukaryota; Fungi.